AAGUUUAGGUUAAACAAACCAAGAGCCUUCAAAGCCCUAAACAAGAGUCCCGCCCUCCUAAC
This 62-nucleotide transfer RNA is filed under the name Cyrtodactylus sinyineensis (Sin Yine cave bent-toed gecko). RNAcentral describes it as "tRNA-Trp". Lineage: Eukaryota; Metazoa; Chordata; Lepidosauria; Squamata; Gekkonidae. The record is from RNAcentral.